CAGCAGGAGACAAACCUGCCUGGGGUAGAAGUCAGAGCCCCGUAGUGUGGAUAGCAGAGGUGAUGGAAACUGAAACUCUGAAGCCUAUCGACAAAGUCUCCCAGGGGAGGCUACGAGUCAUCGGGCCGUAAUAAAA
Molecule: non-coding RNA, 136 nt
Organism: Bradyrhizobium manausense
Lineage: Bacteria; Pseudomonadati; Pseudomonadota; Alphaproteobacteria; Hyphomicrobiales; Nitrobacteraceae
Source: Rfam